GGCGAGGUUCCCGAGCGGUCAAAGGGGGCAGACUGUAAAUCUGUUGGCUCAGCCUUCGAUGGUUCGAAUCCAUCUCUCGCCACCA
This 85-nucleotide transfer RNA is filed under the name Bdellovibrionales bacterium. RNAcentral's name for it is "tRNA-Tyr". It matches the Rfam family "tRNA". From Rfam's summary of the family: Transfer RNA (tRNA) molecules are approximately 80 nucleotides in length. Their secondary structure includes four short double-helical elements and three loops (D, anti-codon, and T loops). The record is from RNAcentral. Lineage: Bacteria; Pseudomonadati; Bdellovibrionota; Bdellovibrionia; Bdellovibrionales.